ACGCUCGACACCUACAGGAGGCAGCAGUAGGGAAUAUUGCGCAAUGGGGGAAACCCUGACGCAGCAACGCCGCGUGGAGGAUGACACUUUUCGGAGCGUAAACUCCUUUUCUUAGGGAAGAAUUCUGACGGUACCUAAGGAAUAAGCACCGGCUAACUCCGUGUCAGCAGCCGCGGUAAUCUGAGCGGGCUGGCAAGGC
RNAcentral lists this ribosomal RNA (199 nucleotides) under uncultured bacterium. Its description in RNAcentral is "partial 16S ribosomal RNA". It matches the Rfam family "Bacterial small subunit ribosomal RNA", at positions 328 to 539 of the family's 1533-position model. The record is from RNAcentral.